This 1637-nucleotide ribosomal RNA is filed under the name Escherichia coli. RNAcentral's name for it is "partial 23S ribosomal RNA". It matches the Rfam family "Bacterial large subunit ribosomal RNA", at positions 1179 to 2798 of the family's 2925-position model. The record is from RNAcentral. Lineage: Bacteria; Pseudomonadati; Pseudomonadota; Gammaproteobacteria; Enterobacterales; Enterobacteriaceae.
GGCUAAACCAUGCACCGAAGCUGCGGCAGCGACGCUUAUGCGUUGUUGGGUAGGGGAGCGUUCUGUAAGCCUGCGAAGGUGUGCUGUGAGGCAUGCUGGAGGUAUCAGAAGUGCGAAUGCUGACAUAAGUAACGAUAAAGCGGGUGAAAAGCCCGCUCGCCGGAAGACCAAGGGUUCCUGUCCAACGUUAAUCGGGGCAGGGUGAGUCGACCCCUAAGGCGAGGCCGAAAGGCGUAGUCGAUGGGAAACAGGUUAAUAUUCCUGUACUUGGUGUUACUGCGAAGGGGGGACGGAGAAGGCUAUGUUGGCCGGGCGACGGUUGUCCCGGUUUAAGCGUGUAGGCUGGUUUUCCAGGCAAAUCCGGAAAAUCAAGGCUGAGGCGUGAUGACGAGGCACUACGGUGCUGAAGCAACAAAUGCCCUGCUUCCAGGAAAAGCCUCUAAGCAUCAGGUAACAUCAAAUCGUACCCCAAACCGACACAGGUGGUCAGGUAGAGAAUACCAAGGCGCUUGAGAGAACUCGGGUGAAGGAACUAGGCAAAAUGGUGCCGUAACUUCGGGAGAAGGCACGCUGAUACGUAGGUGAAGCGACUUGCUCGUGGAGCUGAAAUCAGUCGAAGAUACCAGCUGGCUGCAACUGUUUAUUAAAAACACAGCACUGUGCAAACACGAAAGUGGACGUAUACGGUGUGACGCCUGCCCGGUGCCGGAAGGUUAAUUGAUGGGGUUAGCGGUAACGCGAAGCUCUUGAUCGAAGCCCCGGUAAACGGCGGCCGUAACUAUAACGGUCCUAAGGUAGCGAAAUUCCUUGUCGGGUAAGUUCCGACCUGCACGAAUGGCGUAAUGAUGGCCAGGCUGUCUCCACCCGAGACUCAGUGAAAUUGAACUCGCUGUGAAGAUGCAGUGUACCCGCGGCAAGACGGAAAGACCCCGUGAACCUUUACUAUAGCUUGACACUGAACAUUGAGCCUUGAUGUGUAGGAUAGGUGGGAGGCUUUGAAGUGUGGACGCCAGUCUGCAUGGAGCCGACCUUGAAAUACCACCCUUUAAUGUUUGAUGUUCUAACGUUGGCCCCUGAUCGGGGUUGCGGACAGUGUCUGGUGGGUAGUUUGACUGGGGCGGUCUCCUCCUAAAGAGUAACGGAGGAGCACGAAGGUUGGCUAAUCCUGGUCGGACAUCAGGAGGUUAGUGCAAUGGCAUAAGCCAGCUUGACUGCGAGCGUGACGGCGCGAGCAGGUGCGAAAGCAGGUCAUAGUGAUCCGGUGGUUCUGAAUGGAAGGGCCAUCGCUCAACGGAUAAAAGGUACUCCGGGGAUAACAGGCUGAUACCGCCCAAGAGUUCAUAUCGACGGCGGUGUUUGGCACCUCGAUGUCGGCUCAUCACAUCCUGGGGCUGAAGUAGGUCCCAAGGGUAUGGCUGUUCGCCAUUUAAAGUGGUACGCGAGCUGGGUUUAGAACGUCGUGAGACAGUUCGGUCCCUAUCUGCCGUGGGCGCUGGAGAACUGAGGGGGGCUGCUCCUAGUACGAGAGGACCGGAGUGGACGCAUCACUGGUGUUCGGGUUGUCAUGCCAAUGGCACUGCCCGGUAGCUAAAUGCGGAAGAGAUAAGUGCUGAAAGCAUCUAAGCACGAAACUUGCC